This 434-nucleotide unclassified non-coding RNA is filed under the name Hevea brasiliensis (rubber tree). The record is from RNAcentral. Lineage: Eukaryota; Viridiplantae; Streptophyta; Magnoliopsida; Malpighiales; Euphorbiaceae.
AUUGACCCCACAUGUACAAUCUGUUGACAACGACUCUUCCAUCUGGGUGUUGUCUCCAUAAUAGACUGUUUGUUUCCAAGUUAAUGUCCAGAAAGCCUUCUACAUAUCCAAUAGUUCAAUUACCCCUUCUAUCUCCCAGUCAUUUAACAACAUUCUAAAUACCAAAUUCCACCCUUGUUGAGACCACAACUCACUGAUUUUGUUAUCGGGAUGCACAUUGAUAGAAUGAAGUCCAUGAAACAAACUUUGAAGAGAUCCUUGACCAGUCCAGUCAUUUUUUCAGAAUAAAACCUUAUCUCCCCUCCCAACUUUAACUUUUGUAUCAACUUCUAGAGCCGGCUAAAAGCUUCUGAUAGUCCUCCAAAUUCCAAAUCCAUAAGUGGUUGUUACUUCACCUGAACACCAUUCCCCUUCUUAGCUGAAUUUGUGUUGCA